GGCCUACGGACGCAAGACUAAAACUCAAAGGAAUUGACGGGGACCCGCACAAGCGGUGGAGCAUGUGGUUUAAUUCGAUGCAACGCGAAAAACCUUACCACUCCUUGACAUGGAGAUUAGAUCCUUCUUAACAGAAGGGCGCAGUUCGGCUGGACCUCGCACAGGUGCUGCAUGGCUGUCGUCAGCUCGUGUCGUGAGAUGUUGGGUUAAGUCCCGCAACGAGCGUAACCCUCAUCCUUAGUUGCCAGCGGGUAAGCCGGGCACUUUAAGGAAACUGCCGGUGGUAAACCGGAGGAAGGUGGGGAUGAUGUCAAGUCAGCACGGCCCUUAUGGGGUGGGCUACACACGUGCUACAAUGGUGACUACAAUAGGUUGCAAUGUCGCAAGGCUGAGCUAAUCCGUAAAAGUCAUCUCAGUUCGGAUUGUCCUCUGCAACUCGAGGGCAUGAAGUCGGAAUCGCUAGUAAUCGUGGAUCAGCAUGCCACGGUGAAUACGUUCUCGGGUCUUGUACACACUGCCCGUCACGCCAUGGGAAUUGGCUUAACUCGAAGCUGGUGCGCUAACCGAAAGGAAGCAGCCAUCAA
This 584-nucleotide ribosomal RNA is filed under the name Anaplasma phagocytophilum. RNAcentral's name for it is "bacterial SSU rRNA". It matches the Rfam family "Bacterial small subunit ribosomal RNA", at positions 877 to 1459 of the family's 1533-position model. The record is from RNAcentral. Lineage: Bacteria; Pseudomonadati; Pseudomonadota; Alphaproteobacteria; Rickettsiales; Anaplasmataceae.